CCUGAGCUCAUGGAAUGAUGUGUGAAUUACUGGUGGGAUUUCUAUGGAUCAGUUUCAGGACUGGGAUAGACAGGGUUAAUUCCCAGGUACUGAGGGAUUCAGUGAACACUGCUCCAGGAAUAAGAUGCUCAAUAAUGAGGUAGCCUGGGAGUAAUGAGAGUGAGACUGCUCCAGUAUGCAGGCAGCCUGGGAGUAAUGAGAGCGAGACUGCUCCAGUAUGUAGGCAGCCUGGGAGUAAUGAGAGCGAGACUGCUCCAGUGUGUAGGCAGCCUGGGAGUAAUGAGAGUGAGACUGCUCCAGUAUGCAGGCAGCCUGGGAGUAAUGAGAGUGAGACUGCUCCAGUACAGAGACAGCCUGGGAGUAAUGAGAGCGAGACUGCUCCAGUAUGUAGGCAGCCUGGGAGUAAUGAGAGUGAGACUGCUCCAGUAUGUAGGCAGCCUGGGAGUAAUGAGAGUGAGACUGCUCCAGUAUGUAGGCAGCCUGGGAGUAAUGAGAGUGAGACUGCUCCAGUAUGCAGGCAGCCUGGGAGUAAUGAGAGUGAGACUACCUCAAUACAGAGACAGCCUGGGAGUAAUGAGCGUGAGACUGCGCCAGUAUGUAGGUAGCCUGGGAGUAGUGAGUGCGAGGUUGCUUCAAUACAGAGACAUCCUAGAAGCAAUGAGAGUGUAGACUAAAAGAUACUCCAAUACAUUGACAGCCUGGGAGCAAUGAGAGUGAGACUACUCCAAUACAGAGGCUGCCUGGGAGCAAUGAGAGUUAGACUGCUCCAAUACAGAGGCUGCCUGGGAGCAAUUAGAGUGAGACUACCUCAAUACAGAGACAGCCUGGGUGCAAUGAGAGUUAGACUGCUCCAAUACAGAGGCUGCCUGGGAGCAAUGAGAGUCGAGCUGCUUCCAUACAGGGACAAGCUGGGAGCAAUGAGAGUUAGACUGCUCCAAUACAGAGGCUGCCUGGGAGCAAUGAGAGUGGAUCUGUUUCAAUGCAGAGACAAACUGGGAACAAUGAGAGUUAGACUGCUCCAACACAGAGGCUGCCUGGGAGCAGUGAGAGUGAGAUUUCCCCGGUACAGAGACAGUCUUUAUUCUGUGAAAUGGUGAGACAGCUGGACUCCAAGAGACUGUUUCUGACAGUGAUAUCUGAGAAAUUUUCCAUGAGGGUUCAGCACAGACUCCCUGAUCCAUGCUGUAUAGAUGGACAAAUAGUCUGAUCCCAGAGGACACAGUAAGUUCACAUAUAUUACCCCAUACCUUCCAAUAUUUCAGAUGGAUAAAUUGGGACACUUAACAAUAACAAUCUAUACAACUAAAAUGUGAUCUAAAACAGGAACAAUGUAUCUUAUAUACACAGACUGAUUUCUAAACACAUUUAUUGUAGUUUAAAGACACAUUACUGGGAGUAUUAUUACUGUGGGGCUCUGUGAUACACUCAGAC
This is a non-coding RNA of Pelobates cultripes (western spadefoot toad), 1431 nucleotides long. Lineage: Eukaryota; Metazoa; Chordata; Amphibia; Anura; Pelobatidae. The record is from the annotation of a GenBank genome assembly.